Molecule: long non-coding RNA, 1190 nt
Organism: Eucalyptus grandis
Lineage: Eukaryota; Viridiplantae; Streptophyta; Magnoliopsida; Myrtales; Myrtaceae
Exons: 2
Source: RefSeq, a predicted model, not a curated record
CAAAGAUUGAAUGAUAAUGGAAGCGAUUCACCCGUGAAAUCUAUAUCAUCAUAUCAGUCUGUCAAUGUCCAUAUUACGAGAAUGCCUCGAUGAUAACUCCGGCGUCUCUUUUGUGUUGAGUCAAUGAAUAGAACUCUACGGCUCACCCAAAAAUUUCCAAUUGAUUGCUCUUAAUUUAUGACGCGAUGAAUUCUGUAACGCAAGCCACGGAGCCAGCGUCCUGAAAAGAGAAGGCAAUGGCUCAACUGGUACGGCCACUCUGGCAGUGGCCGAGGUUCCACCAUCACCGCGCCGUCAUCUCUCCCCCCUCUCCCUUGUAUCCUUCACCCUUUGGAACGACGUCGCUGUCAUCAUCUUCAUCAUCCUGACCACUAUCUGUUCCAGGCAGUGGUCCCUUCAGCACACCGCGACGUCCGCUACCAGCCGCGCGGGGCUCAGAUUCCCCAACUGCCCGCCGCCGUACAAUCCCUGAGAAGAGAACGGCAGCGACUCCUCCUCCGACGCCAAGAAGAGCCACGUCCAGAAGAAGCGCGAGGCUCGGCGCGCCGUCCACUGGGGCAUGGAGCUCACUUCUUUCUCCAAUUCCCAUAUCAAGCGCAUCCUCGGGUACUACCGGGGAAAAGAAUGUAACCACCAGAUGUCGCGAUUUGGAGCUUUCACGGGCUUCAUGGAGUGGCCCAAUAGCGUAGCAUUACAGAUUGAUCCUUGCCUUUGGAAUGGGGAAUUGCAGAGUGGCUUCAAUGGAGCAAGAGGUGUUGGACGCUCUGAUGCUUGCGGGAGACUGGGACCCGAUGUUCGAGAAGAAAAGCGAGGGCAGUUCGAUUAAAUCGGUAAUAUCACAUUUCGUUCCUGCAUUUGUGAGUGCGUGCGCGCGCCCCUGGGAGAAUUUAUUUACCUUUCUUGCCGGUUCACCUCUUAUCUUGUUUGCCAUGCUUGGCUAUUGCCAAGUGAGUUCUCGGGGUGCAAAAUAGUUCUUGGACGAAGAAGCUCUUCUCUUGCCGCUUUUUCUUCGUUAGAUUGAACAUGAUUAUUUGAGCUUGUAAUUUUGAAAUGCUUGGAUGGUACUUACGGUAUAGCUCCUUCAGCAUAUAUUGAUGUAAGAUAAGCAACUGCUAAUGCUGUGGCUCGAGAAAGGCCUGUAUGAAUUCUCCAGCUGUGCCAAAAAUCUGAAAUUUUGCUUGCUUGUUGAA